UACGGGGGGGGCAAGCGUUAAUCGGAAUUACUGGGCGUAAAGCGUGCGCAGGCGGUUUUGUAAGCCAGAUGUGAAAUCCCCGGGCUUAACCUGGGAAUGGCAUUUGGGACUGCAAGGCUCGAGUGCGGCAGAGGAGACUGGAAUUCCUGGUGUAGCAGUGAAAUGCGUAGAUAUCAGGAGGAACACCGAUGGCGAAGGCAGGUCUCUGGGCUGACACUGACGCUCAUGCACGAAAGCGUGGGGAGCAAACAGG
Molecule: ribosomal RNA, 253 nt
Filed under: uncultured bacterium
Lineage: Bacteria
Description: partial 16S ribosomal RNA
Rfam family: Bacterial small subunit ribosomal RNA
Source: RNAcentral